RNAcentral lists this ribosomal RNA (423 nucleotides) under Nephropsis suhmi. RNAcentral's name for it is "partial large subunit ribosomal RNA". It matches the Rfam family "Bacterial large subunit ribosomal RNA", at positions 1967 to 2598 of the family's 2925-position model. The record is from RNAcentral. Lineage: Eukaryota; Metazoa; Arthropoda; Malacostraca; Decapoda; Nephropidae.
AUUAGUCCUUUAAUUGAGGGCUUGCAUGAACGGCCGGACAAGAAGUGAGCUGUCUUAAGAAUAGAUUUUGAAAUUGACCUUUAAGUGAAAAGGCUUAAAUGUUUUAAAGGGACGAUAAGACCCUGUAAAGCUUAAUAAUUCUAUAUAUAAGUAGUUAGUUGUUAGUGUAAUAUUAUUUGGUUAUCGGAUUAUUUCGUUGGGGCGACGAUAAUAUAAUUUGUAACUGUUUUAAGAUUUAAUUCAAAAUGUUUGUGUUUAAUGAUCCAUUCUUGUGAUUCAAAGUUUAAGUUACUUUAGGGAUAACAGCGUUAUUUAUUUUGAGAGUUCAUAUCGACAAAAAAGUUUGCGACCUCGAUGUUGAAUUAAAAUUUUAUCAUGGCGUAGCCGCUAUGACAGCAGGUCUGUUCGACCUUUAAAUUUUUA